CGGAAGGACAUCCUGAGACAGUCUUCCUUCUUCACUGCCCCAGCGACUGGGAUGACAGACCCUGGAAUUCCCUCGAAUCCCAUCUCUCCUGUCCCACUUUCGGCACUCGAGCCGGUUUGCUCCAACAGAGAAUAUUUACCUGGUGGAGAUUUACAGGACCAUCGAUACCUGACCAUGACCGGACCUACAGAACAAAUACACCAGGAAGUUUGCAACAACUAACGUUGUGCCUCUCUCACCUUUCCUACCAAAUGGCUUUGCUGAAAGCUUUUGGGGAGUUUCCCUGAUGGGUCAGCUGGUAAAGAAUCCGCCUGUAAUAUGGGAGACCUGAGUUCAAUCCCUGGGUUGGAAAGAUCCCCUGGAGAACGGAAUGGCAACCCAUCCCAGUAUUCUGGUGUGGAGAAUUCCAUGGACAGAGGAGCCUGGUGGGCUACAGCCCAUGGGGUCACAAAAAGUUGGGACAUGACUGAGCGACUUUUACUUUUGGGGAGUUUGGGGGUUUUAAGGCAAGAGUCACCCACCUCCUUGCAUGGCCCUGCAGUAAACUUUUCUCUGUUCCAAACUCCCAACAUUUUGGUAUUGUUUGGCUUUUCUGUGCAUCUGGUGCAUGGAGUAACACUACCACUCAUCCUUCAAAAUCCCAUUCAUCGUUCAUAAAUCACAUCAUCCCUAAAGCCAUCUUGAAUUGCCAUGAAUUACUUUGCUCCCACUUGGGGAACCAGUAAACCCUUUGGCUGCCUUAAUGACUGUAAUUAUCAUAACUGUAUUGAAAUCUAUGUCCCACCUAGGCAGCGGUAUUUAGGACAGUGACUUACUGAUCUUUGCAUUCCCGGAAGUCUAGCAUUUAGUAGGAAUCAAGUAUUUGCUAAAUGAAGGAAACGUCACAACCGAUUCUUAAAAGCAGUUGCUCCAUCCCUUCAAUCAACAGUACAGGAAGAAGUAACUGACCCUGAUAACAAUUUUUUGUUAGCCCAGAUUUGCUUCUGAAGCCAAGCUCAGCAUGUUUGAUUAACAUGUCUUCAAGAAUAAGAGUGAGAAAGCAUUCCUGUAUUCAAAUUCAAGCAAUUGGAAUGGGAAGCA
Molecule: long non-coding RNA, 1080 nt
Organism: Bubalus bubalis (water buffalo)
Lineage: Eukaryota; Metazoa; Chordata; Mammalia; Artiodactyla; Bovidae
Exons: 2
Source: RefSeq, a predicted model, not a curated record